GCCCUGGUAGCUCAGUUGGGAGAGCACCAGGCUGAAGACCUGGGUGUCCCCGGUUCAAGUCCGGGCCAGGGCA
Molecule: transfer RNA, 73 nt
Filed under: Candidatus Methanoliparum thermophilum
Lineage: Archaea; Methanobacteriati; Methanobacteriota; Candidatus Methanoliparia; Candidatus Methanoliparales; Candidatus Methanoliparaceae
Also listed under: 1 other name
Description: tRNA-Phe
Rfam family: tRNA
About the family: Transfer RNA (tRNA) molecules are approximately 80 nucleotides in length.
Source: RNAcentral